Equus caballus (horse) is the source of this 2726-nucleotide long non-coding RNA. RefSeq lists it as uncharacterized. Lineage: Eukaryota; Metazoa; Chordata; Mammalia; Perissodactyla; Equidae. The record is from RefSeq and is a predicted model, not a curated record.
UCUUUUUCCUAUUUUUAAAUUAUGUUAUUUAUCUUAUUAUUAGUUGUAAGAGUUCUUUGUAUAUUCUAGAGACAGGGACUUUAUCAAAUUUCUUCUUCCAGGUGGAAGCUUGUCUUUUCAUUUUCCUAACAAUGGCUUUGAAGAGAAGUUUAAAAAUACUUUAAUAUAUAUGUGGUCCAAUUUACCAGUUUUAUCAUUAGUGCUUAUGUCCCUUUAUGAAAUGUUUGCCUAACCCAAGAUAACCCCCUUUUUCCUAUUUUUCUAACAAUAUCUUAAAUUUUAUUGUCUGCAUUUACAUGCUUUAUCAUUAGCAUUUGCCUUUUCCCAUUUCUUAGUAGGAGAAACCUCUGGAACUUAUUAAGUAGACAGUGGCAGAAAAAUAAUUUCAAAAGUCUUUAGAUCACUACAAAAUUAAUAAGCAAUAAUAUUUUACUCUGCAACUACAAGCUAUUUUUUUCUAUUUUUAAAAGAAGUUUUUUAUAAUUUUAGGUUUUACAUUUGGAGCUAUGAACCAUUUUGAAUUCAUGUUUUGUAUAUGGUGUGAGGUAAAGAUACUUUUUUGUAUAUGGAUGUCUCCUAUAGAUCGAAAGUUUGCAUAAUCCCAAAAUUCAAGUGUUAAAUCCUAAUGCCCAAUGUGAUGUUAUUUGGAGGCGGCACCUUUGGGAGGUGAUUAGGCCAUGCGGGUGGAGCCCUCAUGAGUGGGAUUAGUUCCAUUUUAAAAGAGAGCUCCCUUACCCCUUCUGACGUAUGAAAACAUCUGUUUAUGAACCAGGAAUCAAACCCUCACUAGAGACCAAAUCUGCCAGCGCCUUAAUCUUGGACUUCCCAGCCUCCAGAACUGUGAGAAAUAAAUGUUGUUUAAGCCACCCAGUCGGUGGUAUUUUUGUUAGAGCAGCCUGAACUAAGACAACAUCCAAUUAUUCCAGUAGCGUUUGUCGUCUUUCUCCAUUGAAUUACUUUGGGACUUUUUUAAAAAAUGAAUUGACCAUAUACAAGUGGGCUUCUUUCUGGACUGUUUUAUUCCCUUGAUCUCUAUGUCUAUCUUUACGCCAAUACUACACAAUCUUGAUUACUGCAGCUUUAUAGUUAGUCUUGAAAUCAGGCAGUGAGUCCUCCAACUUUGUUUUUCAUUUUCAAAAUAUUUUGGCUAUGCUAUGUCCUUUGCUUUUCCAUAUAACUUUUAGAAUCUCAGUUUGCUGGGAUUUUUAUUGGGAUAGCAUUGCAUUUAUAGGUCAAUUUUUGAGAGAAUCACCAUAUUAACACUAUUGAGUCUCUAAUCCAUGAACAGUGUAUCUCUCUAAACUCAGGACCCCUGAUUCAACCAUAAUUUAAGUAUAUGUGUCAAGUACAGUGUAAAGGAUAUGAGGAUGAAUAAAAAAGAUUUUGUUUUGAGAAAGGAGCGUACUGGUAGAUUAAAUAAAAAUGUCUAACCUUAAGAGUUCUUAAUAGUUUUAAGAGCACUAUUACCUUUUGCAGUUGGAACUGGUUUGGAAUGGGAAGGGAUAUUUUCAGCUUGAAACUUAGUUGUGUAACCCUCUGUGAUUAUUUGUGGACAAGUCCCUUGAUUUUGUGUAGCAAGCCAGCCAGGAGACUUUUUAGAGAGAAAACUCACACUAAGAAUGGUAUGUUAGUUUAGAUAUGGUUUCCCUGGGGUACUGUGGUGUGGUGUUCAGUUCAAAUCACUAUCCAUUGUCUGGUCCAUAGAUUAGUCUCAGGACACAGCCCCCAGUGGACUCAAAAUAUCAGAGCCCUAUGAAGAAAAAAGAAACUAUAAGCAAAUAUAAAGUGAACUAAAAGUAUUGAUGACUACAUUGCUAAGAACUGCGUUAUACAGUGAGGCCCAAGCAGCCCUGGGACAGUACCACUUGGGUAGGUACAACUCUGAAAUUGAGAGAAGGGCUUUAUCCACACUCAUAUAGGAGUCAAAUAGAGGCUUUGGCCCUUUAGGGACUAUGAAGAAUCAGAAGGGCUCUGUCACCAAGAGGACCCAUCACACCAAUAGCUGUCAGCAUAGGGUACAGGGCACAGCAGAACAGGAGUGCCCAGAAGAUACAGUAGUAUCCAGAGAAGGGUGGCACCCUCUUCUCAGCUGCUUGGACUUGUUCCUGGGAACAGGUAAGUUCUAACUUCAACCCUUCCCUGAGUGUCUGACAGGGUCCAAGGACUGACUGCUACAUAGGAGCCAGCCCUACACGGUUUACAUACUCAGUACCUCAUCUGAUCCACUCAGCAGUCGCGAGGGAAAAGUGGAGAUGAGUGAGCAAAGAAAAAGAAUCACACGUGGUGGGAGCCACAGGACAGUAGAAGACCCAGGAGAAGGGGUGGCAGUGCCCACUGACACGGUUAGAACGAGGGGAAGGCAUGGGGAUGCGCACUCGCAGAGGAAUGGCAUGGGGGCACCUAACCAUCAGGUGAUUGGACUCAUUUUUGAGCACAGGCGAGACCUAUUUUUGGCUACCAUGCAGGAAAAACCAUUGCCUACUUUUUAGUGCACACACUCUCAGAGUUUUCUCUAUGCACAAAUGCAUUAUGCAAACAUAUUUAUAUUUUUACAAAAACGGGCUGAUGCUGUGUAUGCGGUUCUGAAAACUGUUUUUUCUUUAUUGUUAUUUUACAAUAUACCACAAACAUCUCUUCCAUGCACAUGGGUGAAAAUCCCCCACUGACAGACAGAGCACUGUAGUUGGAUCAAAAGGCUGCUGGUAACAAGAGUGACACCUAAAGCA